AUUGAACGCUGGCGGCAUGCCUUACACAUGCAAGUCGAACGGUAACGGGCCUUCGGGUGCCGACGAGUGGCGAACGGGUGAGUAAUACAUCGGAACGUGCCCGAUCGUGGGGGAUAACGAGGCGAAAGCUUUGCUAAUACCGCAUACGAUCUACGGAUGAAAGCAGGGGACCGCAAGGCCUUGCGCGGACGGAGCGGCCGAUGGCAGAUUAGGUAGUUGGUGGGAUAAAAGCUUACCAAGCCGACGAUCUGUAGCUGGUCUGAGAGGAUGAUCAGCCACACUGGGACUGAGACACGGCCCAGACUCCUACGGGAGGCAGCAGUGGGGAAUUUUGGACAAUGGGCGCAAGCCUGAUCCAGCCAUGCCGCGUGCAGGAUGAAGGCCUUCGGGUUGUAAACUGCUUUUGUACGGAACGAAAAGCCUUCUUUUAAUACAGGAGAGUCAUGACGGUACCGUAAGAAUAAGCACCGGCUAACUACGUG
This 482-nucleotide ribosomal RNA is filed under the name uncultured bacterium. RNAcentral describes it as "partial 16S ribosomal RNA". It matches the Rfam family "Bacterial small subunit ribosomal RNA", at positions 30 to 507 of the family's 1533-position model. The record is from RNAcentral.